Molecule: ribosomal RNA, 292 nt
Filed under: uncultured bacterium
Lineage: Bacteria
Description: partial 16S ribosomal RNA
Rfam family: Bacterial small subunit ribosomal RNA
Source: RNAcentral
GUGCCAGCCGCCGCGGUAAUACGUAGGGGGCGAGCGUUGUCCGGAGUUACUGGGCGUAAAGCGCACGCAGGCGGUCGUGUAAGUUUGGGGUUACAGCUCCCGGCUCAACUGGGAGAGCGCCUUGAAGACUGCAGGACUUGAGGGCCAGAGAGGGACACAGAAUUCCGGGUGUAGUGGUGAAAUGCGUAGAUAUCCGGAGGAAUACCAAAGGCGAAGGCAGUGUCCUGGCUGGUGACUGACGCUGAGGUGCGAAAGCUAGGGGAGCGAACGGGAUUAGAUACCCGGGUAGUCC